CAGUCGCCGCGGGAAUACGUAGGGUGCAAGCGUUAAUCGGAAUUACUGGGCGUAAAGCGCGCGCAGGCGGUUUGUUAAGACAGAUGUGAAAUCCCCGGGCUCAACCUGGGAACUGCAUUUGUGACUGGCAAGCUAGAGUGUGGCAGAGGGGGGUGGAAUUCCGCGUGUAGCAGUGAAAUGCGUAGAUAUGCGGAGGAACACCGAUGGCGAAGGCAGCCCCCUGGGCCAACACUGACGCUCACGCACGAAAGCGUGGGGAGCAAACAGGAUUAGAUACCCCGGUAGUCCCUGUCUCUUAUAC
Molecule: ribosomal RNA, 301 nt
Filed under: uncultured bacterium
Lineage: Bacteria
Description: partial 16S ribosomal RNA
Rfam family: Bacterial small subunit ribosomal RNA
Source: RNAcentral